RNAcentral lists this ribosomal RNA (467 nucleotides) under uncultured bacterium. RNAcentral's name for it is "partial 16S ribosomal RNA". It matches the Rfam family "Bacterial small subunit ribosomal RNA", at positions 28 to 506 of the family's 1533-position model. The record is from RNAcentral.
GACGAACGCUGGCGGCGUGCUUAACACAUGCAAGUCGAACGGAAAGGCCCUGCUUUUGUGGGGUGCUCGAGUGGCGAACGGGUGAGUAACACGUGAGUAACCUGCCCUUGACUUUGGGAUAACUUCAGGAAACUGGGGCUAAUACCGGAUAGGAGCUCCUGCUGCAUGGUGGGGGUUUGAAAGUUUCGGCGGUUGGGGAUGGACUCGCGGCUUAUCAGCUUGUUGGUGGGGUAGUGGCUUACCAAGGCUUUGACGGGUAGCCGGCCUGAGAGGGUGACCGGCCACAUUGGGACUGAGAUACGGCCCAGACUCCUACGGGAGGCAGCAGUGGGGAAUAUUGCACAAUGGGCGGAAGCCUGAUGCAGCAACGCCGCGUGCGGGAUGACGGCCUUCGGGUUGUAAACCGCUUUCGCCUGUGACGAAGCGUGAGUGACGGUAAUGGGUAAAGGAGCACCGGCGAACUAUGU